RNAcentral lists this ribosomal RNA (1320 nucleotides) under Triticum aestivum (bread wheat). RNAcentral's name for it is "partial small subunit ribosomal RNA". Lineage: Eukaryota; Viridiplantae; Streptophyta; Magnoliopsida; Poales; Poaceae. The record is from RNAcentral.
AUGGCGCGCCUGCUCCUCCCCCAAUGCUGCUGCGGCCUCACGCCCCUGCCCCUCCCGCGCCGCGCCGUCGCGCUCCCUCCCCCGGCCCUAUUUCCCUCCUCCUCCGGCGCCGCCGCGUCCCGCCGCGCGCUCUCCCUCCGCGUGGCCGUCGCCGCGCCCGCCCGCCUCGCCACCGCCGAGGACGACGGCUCCGGCUCCCGGGCCGCCGGGGCCCAGGGUGGUGACGAGGGGCCCGCUGACGGGUUCGACCCGGGCGCGCCGCCGCCGUUCGGGCUGGCGGACAUCCGGGCCGCCAUCCCCAAGCACUGCUGGGUCAAGGACCCCUGGCGCUCCAUGGGCUACGUGGUGCGCGACGUCGUCGUCGUGCUCGCGCUCGCCGCCGCCGCCGCCCGCCUCGACAGCUGGCUCGCCUGGCCCGUCUACUGGGCCGCCCAGGGCACCAUGUUCUGGGCGCUCUUCGUCCUCGGACACGACUGCGGCCAUGGGAGCUUCUCCAACAACGCCAAGCUCAACAGCGUCGUGGGCCACAUCCUCCACUCCUCCAUCCUCGUGCCUUACAAUGGCUGGAGGAUUAGCCACAGGACGCACCACCAGAACCACGGCCACGUCGAGAAUGACGAGUCCUGGCAUCCGCUCCCGGAGAAGCUGUACAGGAGCCUGGACAGUUCCACCCGGAAGCUUCGAUUCGCGCUACCGUUCCCGAUGCUCGCGUACCCAUUCUACUUGUGGUCGAGGAGUCCAGGGAAGUCAGGCUCGCAUUUCCACCCGAGCAGCGAUUUGUUCCAGCCGAACGAGAAGAAGGACAUAGUGACGUCGACGACAUGCUGGCUUGCCAUGGCUGGCCUGCUCGCUGGGCUCACCGUCGUGAUGGGGCCUCUUCAGAUACUCAAGCUCUACGCCGUACCCUACUGGAUUUUUGUUAUGUGGCUGGACUUUGUUACCUACCUGCACCACCACGGCCACAACGACAAGCUUCCCUGGUAUCGUGGAAAGGCAUGGAGCUACCUGCGCGGGGGCCUGACGACGCUUGACAGGGACUACGGGUGGCUCAACAAAAUCCACCACGACAUCGGGACUCACGUGAUCCACCAUCUUUUCCCGCAAAUCCCACAUUACCAUCUAGUGGAGGCGACCGAGGCGGCGAAGCCAGUGCUGGGGAAGUACUACAGGGAGCCAGACAAGUCCGGCCCGUUCCCGUUCCACCUGUUUGGCGCGCUGGCACGGAGCAUGAAGAGCGACCACUACGUUAGCGACACCGGAGACAUAAUCUACUACCAAACUGACCCAAAACUCGCCGCCGGUGCACACACAUCCGAUUAA